UCUCUCUCGCCGUCUCGCGUUUUCUCUCUCUACUUCUCUGCUGCGUUCUUUUAAUUCUGCUCCUUCUCAUCGUUCUUGGCCGAUCUUCACCUCGUCUUCAUACAAAUCUCAGCAUUUGCACCCAUGAAUGGAGGAACUGCUUCUGAGUUACCUGAUACAAACUCCUGGAAGCAACCAUUUGAUGCUCAGAGAUACUUUUCACAUAGUGAAAGUGACUGACAGGACUGUGUAUACCUUUUUUUUUUUUUUUGAGAAUAGGACUAUGUAUACCUAAAUAAAGAAAAGGAGCAAGUUGAGACAAUUUUCCCUCA
Molecule: long non-coding RNA, 311 nt
Organism: Quercus lobata
Lineage: Eukaryota; Viridiplantae; Streptophyta; Magnoliopsida; Fagales; Fagaceae
Exons: 2
Source: RefSeq, a predicted model, not a curated record